GUCUACAGCCAUACCACCCUGAACAAGCCCGUUCCCGUCUGAUCUCGGAAGCUAAGCAGGGGCGGGCCUGGUUAGUACCUGGAUGGGAGACCACUUAGGAAGACCAAAUACUAUAGGUG
This is a ribosomal RNA of Pteropus vampyrus (large flying fox), 119 nucleotides long. Lineage: Eukaryota; Metazoa; Chordata; Mammalia; Chiroptera; Pteropodidae. The record is from Ensembl.